Molecule: transfer RNA, 77 nt
Filed under: Paracoccaceae bacterium
Lineage: Bacteria; Pseudomonadati; Pseudomonadota; Alphaproteobacteria; Rhodobacterales; Paracoccaceae
Description: tRNA-Leu(taa)
Rfam family: tRNA
About the family: Transfer RNA (tRNA) molecules are approximately 80 nucleotides in length.
Source: RNAcentral
GCGCGCCUAGCCCAACCGGCAGAGGCAGCGGACUUAAAAUCCGUCAAGUCCCGGUUCGAAUCCGGGGGCGCGCACCA